UAUGUAUGUGUGUAUGCAUGCAUGUGCAUUUAUAUGCUAUUUAUAUAUAUUUAUACACACAUACACAUAUACCAAAG
This 77-nucleotide microRNA precursor is filed under the name Chlorocebus sabaeus (green monkey). Its description in RNAcentral is "miRNA (ENSCSAG00000026002.1)". The record is from RNAcentral. Lineage: Eukaryota; Metazoa; Chordata; Mammalia; Primates; Cercopithecidae.